This 468-nucleotide ribosomal RNA is filed under the name uncultured bacterium. Its description in RNAcentral is "partial 16S ribosomal RNA". It matches the Rfam family "Bacterial small subunit ribosomal RNA", at positions 28 to 507 of the family's 1533-position model. The record is from RNAcentral.
GACGGACGCUGACGGCGUGCUUAACACAUGCAAGUCGAACGGAAAGGCCCUGCUUUUGUGGGGUGCUCGAGUGGCGAACGGGUGAGUAACACGUGAGUAACCUGCCCUUGACUUUGGGAUAACUUCAGGAAACUGGGGCUAAUACCGGAUAGGAGCUCCUGCUGCAUGGUGGGGGUUGGAAAGUUUCGGCGGUUGGGGAUGGACUCGCGGCUUAUCAGCUUGUUGGUGGGGUAGUGGCUUACCAAGGCUUUGACGGGUAGCCGGCCUGAGAGGGUGACCGGCCACAUUGGGACUGAGAUACGGCCCAGACUCCUACGGGAGGCAGCAGUGGGGAAUAUUGCACAAUGGGCGGAAGCCUGAUGCAGCAACGCCGCGUGCGGGAUGACGGCCUUCGGGUUGUAAACCGCUUUCGCCUGUGACGAAGCGUGAGUGACGGUAAUGGGUAAAGAAGCACCGGCUAACUACGUG